UGCCGGCGACCGGCGGACGGGUGCGUAACGCGUAUGUAACCUACCUUUGACAGGGGGAUAACAUCGAGAAAUUGGUACUAAUACCCCAUAACAUCACCGGAGGCAUCUUCGGUGGUUGAAAACUCAGGUGGUCAGAGAUGGACAUGCGUUGUAUUAGCUAGGUUGGUGAGGUAACGGCUCACCAAGGCGACGAUACAUAGGGGGACUGAGAGGUCAACCCCCCACAUUGGUACUGAGACACGGACCAAACUCCUACGGGAGGCAGCAG
Molecule: ribosomal RNA, 268 nt
Filed under: uncultured bacterium
Lineage: Bacteria
Description: partial 16S ribosomal RNA
Rfam family: Bacterial small subunit ribosomal RNA
Source: RNAcentral